Molecule: small RNA, 642 nt
Filed under: uncultured fungus
Lineage: Eukaryota; Fungi
Description: eukaryotic LSU rRNA
Rfam family: 5.8S ribosomal RNA (bases 120-274)
Source: RNAcentral
CACCCUCUGUAGUUCUAUGGUCUGGGGGACCCUGUCUUCCUUCUGUGGUUCUACGUCUUUACACACACACUGUAAUAAAGUUUUAUGGAAUGUACAUCGCGUCUAACGCAAUACAAUACAACUUUCAGCAACGGAUCUCUUGGCUCUCGCAUCGAUGAAGAACGCAGCGAAAUGCGAUAAGUAAUGUGAAUUGCAGAAUUCAGUGAAUCAUCGAAUCUUUGAACGCACCUUGCGCCCCUUGGCUAUUCCGAGGGGCAUGCCUGUUUGAGUAUCAUGAACACCUCAACUCUCAUGGUUUGCCAUGAUGAGUUGGACUCUGGGGGUUUUGCUGGCCUGUGGUCGGCUCCUCUCAAAUUAAUCAGCCUCCCAGUGUUUGGUGGCAUCACGGGUGUGAUAAAUAUCUACGCUCGCUGUUGUCUGCCAGGUAACCUUUGGUCACAAAGGUUUGCUGGAGCUCACAGAUGUCUCUCCUCAGCGAGGACAGCUUUUUUAACGUUCGAUCUCAAAUCAGGUAGGACUACCCGCUGAACUUAAGCAUAUCAAUAAGCGGAGGAAAAGAAACUAACAAGGAUUCCCCUAGUAACUGCGAGUGAAGCGGGAAAAGCUCAAAUUUAAAAUCUGGCGUGCCUCUGGUCGUCCGAG